CUGGCUCAGGAUGAACGCUGGCGGCGUGCCUAAUACAUGCAAGUCGAGCGAAUGGAUUAAGAGCUUGCUCUUAUGAAGUUAGCGGCGGACGGGUGAGUAACACGUGGGUAACCUGCCCAUAAGACUGGGAUAACUCCGGGAAACCGGGGCUAAUACCGGAUAACAUUUUGAACYGCAUGGUUCGAAAUUGAAAGGCGGCUUCGGCUGUCACUUAUGGAUGGACCCGCGUCGCAUUAGCUAGUUGGUGAGGUAACGGCUCACCAAGGCAACGAUGCGUAGCCGACCUGAGAGGGUGAUCGGCCACACUGGGACUGAGACACGGCCCAGACUCCUACGGGAGGCAGCAGUAGGGAAUCUUCCSCAAUGGACGAAARUCUGACGGAGCAACGCCGCGUGAGUGAUGAAGGCUUUCGGGUCGUAAAACUCUGUUGUUAGGGAAGAACAAGUGCUAGUUGAAUAAGCUGGCACCUUGACGGUACCUAACCAGAAAGCC
This 493-nucleotide ribosomal RNA is filed under the name Bacillus thuringiensis. Its description in RNAcentral is "bacterial SSU rRNA". It matches the Rfam family "Bacterial small subunit ribosomal RNA", at positions 19 to 492 of the family's 1533-position model. Lineage: Bacteria; Bacillati; Bacillota; Bacilli; Caryophanales; Bacillaceae. The record is from RNAcentral.